UGCAGAUCCCGUGAACCAUCGAGUCUUUGAACGCAAGUUGCGCCCGAAGCCU
RNAcentral lists this ribosomal RNA (52 nucleotides) under Leptostachya wallichii. RNAcentral describes it as "partial 5.8S ribosomal RNA". The record is from RNAcentral. Lineage: Eukaryota; Viridiplantae; Streptophyta; Magnoliopsida; Lamiales; Acanthaceae.